This 72-nucleotide transfer RNA is filed under the name Phrynosoma platyrhinos (Desert horned lizard). Its description in RNAcentral is "tRNA-OTHER". Lineage: Eukaryota; Metazoa; Chordata; Lepidosauria; Squamata; Phrynosomatidae. The record is from RNAcentral.
GCCAGCUUAGUAUAAUGGUUUGAAUGUUGGACUAUGGCUCUGGAAACCAGGGUUCAAUUCCCAGCUCAGCCA